CAGGGGGGAGCUAUAAUGCAGUCGAACGAGUUCUCGUUGAUGAUCGGUGCUUGCACCGAGAUUCAACAUGGAACGAGUGGCGGACGGGUGAGUAACACGUGGGUAACCUGCCCUUAAGUGGGGGAUAACAUUUGGAAACAGAUGCUAAUACCGCAUAGAUCCAAGAACCGCAUGGUUCUUGGCUGAAAGAUGGCGUAAGCUAUCGCUUUUGGAUGGACCCGCGGCGUAUUAGCUAGUUGGUGAGGUAAUGGCUCACCAAGGCGAUGAUACGUAGCCGAACUGAGAGGUUGAUCGGCCACAUUGGGACUGAGACACGGCCCAAACUCCUACGGGAGGCAGCAGUAGGGAAUCUUCCACAAUGGACGCAAGUCUGAUGGAGCAACGCCGCGUGAGUGAAGAAGGCUUUCGGGUCGUAAAACUCUGUUGUUGGAGAAGAAUGGUCGGCAGAGUAACUGUUGUCGGCGUGACGGUAUCCAACCAGAAAGCCACGGCUAACUACGUGCCAGCAGCCGCGGUAAUACGUAGGUGGCAAGCGUUAUCCGGAUUUAUUGGGCGUAAAGCGAGCGCAGGCGGUUUUUUAAGUCUGAUGUGAAAGCCCUC
Molecule: ribosomal RNA, 600 nt
Filed under: Lacticaseibacillus casei
Lineage: Bacteria; Bacillati; Bacillota; Bacilli; Lactobacillales; Lactobacillaceae
Description: bacterial SSU rRNA
Rfam family: Bacterial small subunit ribosomal RNA
Source: RNAcentral